Long non-coding RNA from Zea mays, 1062 nucleotides. RefSeq lists it as uncharacterized. NCBI's taxonomy places the organism in Eukaryota, Viridiplantae, Streptophyta, Magnoliopsida, Poales, Poaceae. The transcript is spliced from 3 exons. The record is from RefSeq and is a predicted model, not a curated record.
UUUUUUGGACACUCAAAUAACUGACCAUAUUUACUUAGCAGUCAACACCUUCUAGCUUAGUUUUUUCCCUUGAACAUGUAAAACUGUAUGUCAUUACAUUAAGAGAAAGUAAGGCCAAAAUAGCAAAAAUACAACGACCUUACAUUCUUACACUAUCACGACAACCAGAACAAACACCUUACAUUACCAUGCAUGACCAGAACAACCUUACGUGACCUUACAACCAAAACAACAACCUUAUGUGACCAAAACAACCACUAAAAGAUGACUUAAACAGCCUUAAGCAACCAACUUGAUGCAAGGCAACAGAUGACAACGGCCAACCACAAACCGUAAGGGAUUUAGAUCCCAAUGGGUUUUGAGGAAAAUAUUUUUACAUUAAGCAAAACUCUGAACAGAAGUUAUGUGCUCUACAACUUCCUAUUUCUUCAGUUUGGCUAUUGUACUUAACAACAGUGUGUUGUAUGCUAUUCUAGUGGUGUUUGUAGAUCUUUUUCUUUUAUAUAAACAUGACAGCUAUCCCUUUAAAAUUUUCUAUAUUUAUUUCAUUAUUUUUUUAAUCUCAGUAUGCAUCAACAUUUUUGGGAUUUUCUGUAGAUAUCAAUAUAUGAUUUACGCAUGUCUUCUCCUCUGAGAGUUAAGGAUCACAUGUAUGGUAGCCCAAUAUUAAAUAUCAAAUGGCACCAGACACUUAAUUCUACCGAACCUAAACUGAUCACUGCUGAUAAGCACAUAGUGAGAAUCUGGGAUCCUAAUACAUUACCACACAUGCUGCCAUCUGAAAAUGCAUUUUCAGCUGUUGUAUCUGCUCUGGAGUGAAUGAAGGACAUCGUCUUUGGAAGUCAGACAUCACCUAGAGCUAGGGUGUCCAUUCUUGACAUGUUUCUCUUAGUGAUAGGUGGAUACUGUCUAGCUAGGAACAGAGUCUCGAGGGAUUGAUGGACGCAUGCAUCUUCAAUUCCUGUGUGUUGUAUUACUACUGGUACAAUCUCCAAUUCUUGUGAACUUAUGUAUUUGGACUAUCAAUUUGUGAUAUGAACAUAUAUCAAUGUGUUUGAAAUC